Molecule: ribosomal RNA, 253 nt
Filed under: uncultured organism
Description: partial 16S ribosomal RNA
Rfam family: Bacterial small subunit ribosomal RNA
Source: RNAcentral
UACGUAGGUGGCAAGCGUUAUCCGGAUUUACUGGGUGUAAAGGGCGCGUAGGCGGGGAUACAAGUCAGAUGUGAAAUCUAUGGGCUUAACCCAUAAACUGCAUUUGAAACUGUAUCUCUUGAGUGUCGGAGAGGUAGACGGAAUUCCUAGUGUAGCGGUGAAAUGCGUAGAUAUUAGGAGGAACACCAGUGGCGAAGGCGGUCUACUGGACGAUAACUGACGCUGAGGCGCGAAAGCGUGGGGAGCAAACAGG